UUUUACUACAAACUAGCUGAGGUUGUGGGUGGUUUUUCACAAUGCCCAUUUAUUCAGUGCUGUGAUUUUGAUAAAUUUUCUUCACAAAUCCACAUCUCUGUGAAAUUGGAGUGUGUGAAUUCAUUUUUAGCACCUUGUUUUGACAUAAAAGCCCUCUGUAGUUGUAAAUUUGGGCUGGAAAAGUACAAUCAUAUACUGUAGCAAGCAGAUUUCCUCAGUUUGAACAUCUGUCAUUGGAAAUAUUUGCCAAGGAAACUUCAUGUGGUGCCUUUCAUGAGGAAACCGAGCAACAAGUGCGAUUGGUUUGCAUCUCCCUCUUUAUCCAUUUUUAAUAGGAUUUGAUGAGUAUUUCACUGUUUUAUUGAGGAUCUUCAAAGGAUGAUGGGUAAGAGGAUGAGCUUUAGGGGUCAGGAAAAGCAGGGUUUGAGUUCAGGACAUAUUAAUUGGGUGACUGUAGAACUAGUGUGACCUCUGUGGACUUAAUGGACUCAUCCUCAAAGUGGAGGUUGGAUUUACUCCUUUUUUUCACAGUGUUGGUGUUGGGAGUGUCAAAGGAGAUAUCUAAGCACUUAGCAGGGUACCUGGCAUAGAAGAAGUACUCACUUAACAGGGGGUUGUCAUGGUCAGAUGAUGUCUCUAAUGAGAGGAAGUGGGCAAUGAAUGCAGAGGAUCAAGUGACCAGGCACACUGCCCAGUCAAGGCUGAUGUGAGGGCACCUGUUACUCUGAUGUGGCAGAGUGUCAGAUACUGAGUAGGGCAAGAGGACCCCCAGUUGGGAAUUGCUGCUUCAACAAAGCCUUCCUCUGUAUGAGCUUCCUUCCAGGCAGAGAAUUAGAAGUGGAGAACAGCAUCCAGGCAAUCUGAGAGUGAAGACCGAGCUGCAAGACUGUGGGUCUCCACCCCAGGAGUUCAUCCGUGGGAAAGAGGAACAUUGGCGUCUGUGGAAAGUAAACCACAGCAGAGGACACUGAGCAACUUCAAAAUACUAAAGAAUCUUUCCAAACGUGGGCUUGGUGGAGGUAUGCGGGAGCAUAUGACAAAAGAAACGGCAAAUGUGGCUGAUGACUGCUGAUGGUACUGGAGUGUUGUUGCCCACUUCCAGAAAUGGUGGACAGCUGUAGCCAAGAAGACAAAAGAGAAGAUUAGAAGCAACUGAGACCUAACCGAGUCACAGACCUCACAGAUGAAAAGGUGAGUCUGGUUUAAAAUCGCAUCUCCUGGGCCCACUUCAGUGUAUGAGUUCUCAGAACUGUGGUGCACACGCGUUUCUGUAAGAGGUACAUUGAUUGUUCUGGAGACAAGAGACUCACCUUGGUUGUGAACUGAUGCCUUAGCUGAAUGUAGGGAUGAGUGUCUCCAUGGCUUUCUAACCCCUGGGCAAUGUUUCAUAGCAAUUACCUGUACAACCAGUUGCUAUGGUUACCUAUUGUCUAUCCUUCAAAAGGAGAAAUUUCCAGCUAAACUAGUUAGCAGGAGAAAUGGUGCUGAGAUCUGACACGAAGGAGUGGAACAUGCAGGAAAAAUGUCUUCAUUUAAAUAGUGACAAGUUUU
This 1551-nucleotide long non-coding RNA is filed under the name Oryctolagus cuniculus (rabbit). Its description in RNAcentral is "lncRNA (ENSOCUG00000039224.1)". The record is from RNAcentral. Lineage: Eukaryota; Metazoa; Chordata; Mammalia; Lagomorpha; Leporidae.